RNAcentral lists this long non-coding RNA (809 nucleotides) under Anser brachyrhynchus (Pink-footed goose). Its description in RNAcentral is "lncRNA (ENSABRG00000004726.1)". Lineage: Eukaryota; Metazoa; Chordata; Aves; Anseriformes; Anatidae. The record is from RNAcentral.
CAGUAACAGUCUUUCAAGCGAUACAAUUAUUGUAUUAUGCAUUACAGUGAUUUUCUUAGACAACAUUUUGACACCUAAGUGUCAGUGUUUGUCAUGCAGGGUUUAGGCCUGAAUUCUAAUCCCUAGCUUUGUUCUUUUUCUGUUUCCAGUCUUCACCAUGUAACUUCUCUCUAAACAAUCUGAAUUUUACCCUGUUGUGCCUAUGUGUGCUGAAGAAGAUUUUGAACACUAGAAGUGAAAAUAGAAAAACUUGUUUCUAACAUGGAGGUGAAGGAAAGGUCAGGAGACAAGUCAGAUGCAUGGCUGAUGUGGUUUAACCAUUCAUGUAGGCAUAGGGAGAGCAAAACUGUCACAGCCACAAUUUAAAGAGAAUUAGUAGGAGACAAGACACAAAUGUGAUCAGAAAAUGAGUGGGUGGCUCUCUGAGAUGCAAUGCCUUCUCAUUUCAUAGUGACAGCAGUGAGCUAAGAAGUCUCUCCGAGUGGUUUGAAGGAAGUACCAAGCAUUUACAGGAACAGACAAUUUGCCUCUGCUUUUCUGAAAUCACCUCAUGCUCAGCAGGAGGAAAGUAGAGAGGAAAAUGCACUGCUGCAAGUGUCACAAAUUGCUGCAUAUCAGAGGUUGAAGAGAUUGAUGAAAAGACAACAACAAUACAAAACCCCUCUGUAUAUUCAAAAUGCGAUGAUGUUCCAUUCAUGGAAAAGCUCUCAACCUUAGUGUAGUCACAUGGCCAGGAGAACAGAAGUGAGAUGUGAAAAGUAAAAUGGCAACCUGGAAAAUACGGAUGUACUUUGUGAUACUGCUGGAAA